Molecule: long non-coding RNA, 692 nt
Organism: Oncorhynchus nerka (sockeye salmon)
Lineage: Eukaryota; Metazoa; Chordata; Actinopteri; Salmoniformes; Salmonidae
Exons: 2
Source: RefSeq, a predicted model, not a curated record
GUUGCAGAUGCAGGGGAGAUGGCAUGGUUGGGGUGGCGCAAGUGGACUGAACUUCUGCGUUUGUCUAGGCCACACUGCUAUUCUUUAAAUGCACUUCACUUUAAUGAAAUAUUCUACCUUCUUUUUCAGAAAACAGUUACAGUGUUUGCAUGCAUUAAAGUGUAGCACUCAUCAGAGCUAUUGGAGUUCUUUUCUGUUACAAAUGACCUGUUCAAAAAUAAAACUUGGGAGAUUGCGGCUAACCUGGUUUUAGGGAGACUUCCCUGCCCCUCCUGCCGUCGUGGGAACUGCCCUGUCCAGACAGACUUUCUCUAAAUGUAACGUAUAUCCAUCCGCAAGCUGUACAUCUAGUGCUAUCUGACACCUAUUAGCUUUUACUGCCCUCCUUGUGGCCUUUCUGAGUACUGUAUUCUAUCCCAGGACACAGUCUCUGGACAGACUGUCAGUCAGAGGCCUUUAUCAUUAGCUUAUUGUGGACCUGCCGUCCUGUAGACCUUUCAUGCCAUCUACUGGGACUCUACUGGUGGUGAGUUUUUCUUUGGCAUUGCCUUAGUUGACUUUUAUGUGUAUUUUGUUAAUUAGCAUAAAUACUUGUAUCAAUGUAUAUAACUAUGUAUACUCAGUUCCAAAACAAUUAGCUUGACAAUGUGUCCCCAUGGGGGGAAAAAAAAGUAAACUUUCUAUUGAAAUCA